This 584-nucleotide ribosomal RNA is filed under the name uncultured bacterium. Its description in RNAcentral is "partial 16S ribosomal RNA". It matches the Rfam family "Bacterial small subunit ribosomal RNA", at positions 355 to 937 of the family's 1533-position model. The record is from RNAcentral.
UGGGGAAUUUUGGACAAUGGGGGAAACCCUGAUCCAGCCAUCCCGCGUGUGCGAUGAAGGCCUUCGGGUUGUAAAGCACUUUUGGCAGGAAAGAAACGUCGCGGGUUAAUACCCCGCGGAACUGACGGUACCUGCAGAAUAAGCACCGGCUAACUACGUGCCAGCAGCCGCGGUAAUACGUAGGGUGCAAGCGUUAAUCGGAAUUACUGGGCGUAAAGCGUGCGCAGGCGGUUCGGAAAGAAAGAUGUGAAAUCCCAGAGCUUAACUUUGGAACUGCAUUUUUAACUACCGGGCUAGAGUGUGUCAGAGGGAGGUGGAAUUCCGCGUGUAGCAGUGAAAUGCGUAGAUAUGCGGAGGAACACCGAUGGCGAAGGCAGCCUCCUGGGAUAACACUGACGCUCAUGCACGAAAGCGUGGGGAGCAAACAGGAUUAGAUACCCUGGUAGUCCACGCCCUAAACGAUGUCAACUAGCUGUUGGGGUCUUCGGACCUUGGUAGCGCAGCUAACGCGUGAAGUUGACCGCCUGGGGAGUACGGUCGCAAGAUUAAAACUUAAAGGAAUUGACGGGGUCAUAGCUGUUUCC